GACGAACGCUGGCGGCGUGCCUAAUACAUGCAAGUCGAACGCUUCUUUCCUCCCGAGUGCUUGCACUCAAUUGGAAAGAGGAGUGGCGGACGGGUGAGUAACACGUGGGUAACCUACCCAUCAGAGGGGGAUAACACUUGGAAACAGGUGCUAAUACCGCAUAACAGUUUAUGCCGCAUGGCAUAAGAGUGAAAGGCGCUUUCGGGUGUCGCUGAUGGAUGGACCCGCGGUGCAUUAGCUAGUUGGUGGGGUAACGGCUCACCAAGGCCACGAUGCAUAGCCGACCUGAGAGGGUGAUCGGCCACACUGGGACUGAGACACGGCCCAGACUUCUACGGGAGGCAGCAGUAGGGAAUCUUCGGCAAUGGACGAAAGUCUGACCGAGCAACGCCGCGUGAGUGAAGAAGGUUUUCGGAUCGUAAAACUCUGUUGUUAGAGAAGAACAAGGACGUUAGUAACUGAACGUCCCCUGACGGUAUCUAACCAGAAAGCCACGGCUAACUACGUG
RNAcentral lists this ribosomal RNA (508 nucleotides) under uncultured bacterium. Its description in RNAcentral is "partial 16S ribosomal RNA". It matches the Rfam family "Bacterial small subunit ribosomal RNA", at positions 28 to 507 of the family's 1533-position model. The record is from RNAcentral.